Molecule: unclassified non-coding RNA, 350 nt
Filed under: soil metagenome
Description: partial contains 5.8S ribosomal RNA, internal transcribed spacer 2, and large subunit ribosomal RNA
Rfam family: 5.8S ribosomal RNA (bases 2-120)
Source: RNAcentral
UAUGAAGAACGUAGCGAAACGCGAUAGUUAAUGUGAAUUGCAGAAUUCAGUGAAUCAUCGAGUCUUUGAACGCACAUUGCGCCCAUUGGUAUUCCUUUGGGCAUGUCUGUUUGAGCGUCAUUACAAUCCUCAGCUAACCGCUGGUUUUGAACCCGAACGGGGUGAUACCUGCGCCGGUUUUAAAGUUGUAAGCUCUGCUGGCCGCUCUGCCCCAACCAGAACAUAGUAAGCACUACUUGUCCAGGUGAAGCUGAACGGUACGGCCUGAACAAAACCUACCCACUUCUAAGGUUUGACCUCAGAUCAGACAAGGAUACCCGCUGAACUUAAGCAUAUCAAUAAGCGGAGGA